AUCCAGUGAUGAGAUUAUGGCAAGAUUUAUGAUCCAGCCAAACCAAGAGACCGUGGUUCUUAGUCUGCUGUCAGGUGGGUAGUCUUGGUAGUGUGGUGAAGUUUUAUUACUCUGCUGUAAGGGCCCACCUAUAGUCAAACUGUCACCUCCUACAGCCUUUGCCCUCCUAAAAGAAAUCGGACGGUAUAAAUAGGAGAUGCCAAACAGUGUGUGAGUGUUUGUUUGUAUUUUUGUAUGAAUGUAUACAUAACAGCUGACAAAAGGCCAUGGUCUCUGUCUACUUGGUUUGGCAGGUAUGAAUAACCAUCUUUGGUAAUCUGAGGAUA
RNAcentral lists this small nucleolar RNA (326 nucleotides) under Kryptolebias marmoratus (mangrove rivulus). Lineage: Eukaryota; Metazoa; Chordata; Actinopteri; Cyprinodontiformes; Rivulidae. The record is from RNAcentral.